Molecule: ribosomal RNA, 486 nt
Filed under: uncultured bacterium
Lineage: Bacteria
Description: bacterial SSU rRNA
Rfam family: Bacterial small subunit ribosomal RNA
Source: RNAcentral
AUUGAACGCUGGCGGCAUGCCUUACACAUGCAAGUCGAACGGCAGCGGACCUUCGGGUGCCGGCGAGUGGCGAACGGGUGAGUAAUAUAUCGGAACGUACCUUUCAGUGGGGGAUAACGUAGCGAAAGUUACGCUAAUACCGCAUAUUCUGUGAGCAGGAAAGCAGGGGAUCGCAAGACCUUGCGCUGAUUGAGCGGCCGAUAUCAGAUUAGCUAGUUGGUGAGGUAAAGGCUCACCAAGGCGACGAUCUGUAGCGGGUCUGAGAGGAUGAUCCCCCACACUGGUACUGAGACACGGACCAGACUCCUACGGGAGGCAGCAGUAAGGAAUAUUGGUCAAUGGGCGCAAGCCUGAACCAGCCAUGCCGCGUGCAGGAAGACGGCCUUAUGGGUUGUAAACUGCUUUUAUAAGGGAAUAAACCCACGUUCGAGAGCGUGGUUGAAGGUACCUUAUGAAUAAGCACCGGCUAACUCCGUGCCAGCAGCC